UACGUAGGGUCCGAGCGUUGUCUGGAAUUAUUGGGCGUAAAGAGCUCGUAGGCGGUUUGUCGCGUCUGCUGUGAAAUCCCGAGGCUCAACCUCGGGCCUGCAGUGGGUACGGGCAGACUUGAGUGGUGUAGGGGAGACUGGAAUUCCUGGUGUAGCGGUGGAAUGCGCAGAUAUCAGGAGGAACACCGAUGGCGAAGGCAGGUCUCUGGGCACUUACUGACGCUGAGGAGCGAAAGCGUGGGGAGCGAACAGG
RNAcentral lists this ribosomal RNA (253 nucleotides) under uncultured bacterium. RNAcentral describes it as "partial 16S ribosomal RNA". It matches the Rfam family "Bacterial small subunit ribosomal RNA", at positions 524 to 776 of the family's 1533-position model. The record is from RNAcentral.